CGCAAGUAGGCCGGUCUCCUUUAAUAUGGCAUACGUAUAAUCACUACUGCUGAAUAUUUCAAAGGGACCCGCAGGGCUGACCCCAUCCGUACCUCAACUACUGACGAUGAGCGUCGUGCGUCGGACCACCGCUUAUUUCCACUACUUGGCUGCAGGUGUCAAGUUCCCGGCGCUGAAAAAAUACUCGGGGUAAAAGGUGCCUCGGAAAAACCGAUGAAUCUGCAGUAUCCGGAGUUUGCGAUUCAGUUGGACUUAGGAAAGGGCGUGACGACACCUCGGGGACCGAGGGACGACGACGACGACGACGUCCAACUCUAUGGGUUCGAAAAACUUCGACACUCCUCGCCCCAUCGCACCCUGGAGGGUGUUUUGUUUGUGAUUAGGUCUGGAAGCUUGGAAUUUCUCCAACGAUGUAGAAGACAAUGCCAAAACCUCCCCUCAUGAAAAAUUUCUCACGGAUAUCUCUGAAAGUUUGCCGUUUAAGGGCUUUCUCAUGCUCCAAAACUCGUGGGAAGGGAUAACAAAAGCUUACGGUUUUUUCCUUCUUUUCAUUUUACAUAACCUUUUACAAUAUUGCCGAACCAGAAUGUAUAAGAAUUAUCGAGGAAUAAAAAAAGAUGUCAAACUAGUUCAAAUGAACGAAACUUCGUCGGUGAAAAUUUAAAUUCGGACGAAUGUUGAAAAAGAAUCGUAAGCUAACUCAUCGAUUUAAAAAUUCUAACAUUCAGUUUUAUAUGAUUUCCUGUCCUUCGGUUAUUCCGAUUAUGGAAGCGGAGGUCUGAUUGUGAGCCUAGGUUUAACAUGUCGUUGAAAUCGAGGUUGAAAUGUAGAUGUGUGAUGACGUAGCGAAGACGAUUGAUCGAUUUAUGAUACUUCUGAAAAUAAUAUUUCCAGAGCGCCAACUCGAAUGGAAAAGUGACAGUGUUUAAAGUUGGAGUAAUAUACAACGCCGAAUAUAAAUAUAAGUUAUAAUUUUUUCUUCAAUGCAGACGGCUGACACGUAAAAUGCAUAGAAACAAUUUGGCGCCUGGCAAAAUCGAAUAAAGAAUGGCCGCAUGGUUUGUUUCUCGCAACUAUAACAAAUUUUUUUCGGGAAAGAGGAGUUGUAGAACUUAUUAUCACCACUGUGAACCGGACAUACUUAUUUUACCUCUUUCACAACCUUCGCAGACAAUAUUGCACGGAUAAAAACAAGAGCUAAUUUAUAUAUUAGGGUGUUUCAGAAAAAAAUAAUUUGCUAUUUUCCAUUACGGCACCCUCUAAAAAUUUUUGUUCAGGUUGAAAGAAAGAUUCUGUCGAAAGAUGAGCGCUUUACGUUGCGUGGAAGAUGGCACUCAGUGAUUUUCCAGUUAUUUAAAUUUUUUUUAAUAUAUAAUAUGUGAGUACAGAAGCUGCAGAUUCAGGAAAACUUGUGUACGAUGUCACACCCUCGAUGUUAUUCUGUUAUCCACUAGUUAUUUUUGAUUUCCUUUCAAUUUAUCAUUAAAUACAUUUAUAUUUUCUAUUUUUUAUUUCGAGUCUCCGCAUGCAUUGCAUGCAUACGGCUCUCUUUUUACCUUUUUACUACUGCGGGAAAUUAAAACCGUAAGUUAUCAAUAAACUUACUGUUUAGAUAAUAUUUUCGAGACAAUCCUUACCCAAACAGACUCGUAUAUACAAACACAGCACGGAAAAUCCUACCCGCACGUGUGGAAAAGGCGGGAUAGUUCAUGAUAAAUUCUCAUGCUACACCGUACCCGAAGGGCGGGGGUAGUCUAGACAAAUCAAAAGACUCAAAAUUUUAUCGGGACCUCCUUAUUGGUCCAGCAUCCCGUAAGGAUACUGGGAACCAAUCAGGAAGUAGUUUAGACAACAGCACGCAAAUCUUUAAGGAGAAUCGUCAAUUCAUUUUUCAACAGGUCGUUAGAGUCAGAGUAGAGUCGUCAAAGAGUCGUCAUUCAGUCUUUAACAAGAAAUCAUUCUCUCGGUCUUACAAUUAGAUAAUCCAAUCACAUCAAGCGCUGAGUAAAUUCCGUGUUCUUUUACUUUCAUAUAAACUUUUUUCUACCAAUAUAUAUAACUAAAACCAUUUUGACCAUCUUCAUAAACCUAAAUUGAAUAAACGAAUAGUAGUGUUUCAAAA
This 2122-nucleotide long non-coding RNA is filed under the name Neodiprion lecontei (redheaded pine sawfly). RNAcentral's name for it is "uncharacterized LOC124294152". Lineage: Eukaryota; Metazoa; Arthropoda; Insecta; Hymenoptera; Diprionidae. The record is from RNAcentral.